AAAAUGCCAGUAGUAUCCAACUGAAAGGAAGCAAGUAAGUCGGUCGAUCUUGCUUCGCUUUGCUGAAAAAUGGUGCUCCUUGAUUUUUUAAGAAUUUUUCAGACUACGAAAUAAUUUUACGCAUUUUGCAUUAUUCUACUGUUUCAAACACAACUGUCUUACAGUAACCCGUAUUCGGAUUCAGCGAAUGACCAUAGCGCAAAUUCUUCAUCGAUAAAGCUGUCUACGCCCGAAGAAUGCGCACGGGAAUGCCAAGAUCAUGAGAAACCUAAAAAUUGUUAUUAUACCUUCGACAUUGAAUUCUAUACGACACAAGGACCUGCUUGUGAUGUGGAAACUGGAAGGGACCAAUGUAUCCAAGGGGAUGGAGUUGAAAAGACCUUGAUACCAAUCAAUCGACAGUUACCAGGACCA
Molecule: long non-coding RNA, 414 nt
Organism: Bombus pascuorum
Lineage: Eukaryota; Metazoa; Arthropoda; Insecta; Hymenoptera; Apidae
Exons: 3
Source: RefSeq, a predicted model, not a curated record